Molecule: long non-coding RNA, 1631 nt
Filed under: Ananas comosus (pineapple)
Lineage: Eukaryota; Viridiplantae; Streptophyta; Magnoliopsida; Poales; Bromeliaceae
Description: long non-coding RNA (ACOM_LNC032374)
Source: RNAcentral
AAAAAAAAAAAAAGACGGCAGCAACAACAGCAGCAGUAACAAACACUAGCAGCAGCAGCAGCUGACACCAACAACAAUAACAACAACAACAGCAGCAGCAGCAACAACGAGGCACAAGCAACUUAUUACAGGCAUGAACAGCAGAGGCACAAAAGCAACUUAUUAGAAGUAUGGUGCAUGUGCAUUCCAAAUCAGGGAGGGAGCAGCAUAGAGAACAGCAGGAAGCCACACCCCACCAUCCACAUCACAUAUGCCAGCAGCAUCUUCGCCCUCGCGGCCGCCGCGACCGGCUCGCCCGCACUGCCGCCGUAAAUUACUCCGGCAGCUCCGACCGUCAUCAGCAGGUACCCUUGCCCGGCGAGGAUGCGCCGGAGCCGCUCCGCGCCGUCGCCGCGGGGUGCGAUCCUAGCCGUCCACGUACCACCCACCGGAGCAUCCAUGGGCUUCUUAUGUUCUCGUGAUGGUGUAAUAUUAAGGUGGUAACUUGGACGGGCUUUUUAUAUAUACUGCUCGAAGGGAUUUUAAGGGAUUGAGUGGAUACGUGGGGGUUCCACGAAAUUUCGUCGCCUAUACAUAACAAAGUCAAGGAAGUGUGUUCGAGCGGGCUUUUUCCACUACUAUGUUUUCAGGAAAACUUCAAUUAACCCCUUGUGAUUUGGUGUAUUUUCAAUUUACUAUCCAGUAGCUUCAAAUAUUUCACCUAGUUAGCUUUGUGCGUAGGAUAGUAAAAUAAUACGUUUUACAAACAACAAGGUGCAUGGCUAGGUGAAAAAUAUAGCGCAAUAAUAAAUGGUACAGUACUUUUGCAAUAUACGAUUCGUAAAAUGCGUAGCCUUAUUAUUUUAAAUUGACGGCAAAUCUCUAUGCCGAUAGAAGAAGAAAACCACGUGAUAAUAAUGUAAAACUGUUUAAACUAUAUGGUAUUGAAUGAAAAUGUCCUAAACCUUAGAGGGGCAAAUUGAAAAUUUUCCUUAUUCCUUUUUUAUAUCAUUAUUAUCUGCACAAACCAUGGCACAAUCGAACCUACCAUGAAAGGAGAGUUCCUUUUUGUAUGUUAAUUCACCUUUUCUCUCUCCCCUUUUCAAACAUAAGAAAUUAUUGCCUGCACCAGGUCUAUUAAUACAUCACAUGAACUGAACCAACUUUUCAAUGAUAAAUAUAGUAAAUUCAAAACUAAUCUUAUUGAUGCAGUUUACUUCAUAUAAAAAGUCUUAUAUAUAAAAACAAACUUAGUUUGAAUUGUAAUAAUGAGGAUUAGAAAUACAGUGUAUACCAUAUAGUUAUACACCCGGUACACGAAAUAAUCAACUUACGUGGAAGGAGAGUUCCUUUUUGUAUGUGUGGACAUGUCGCUCUCUUUUAUUCACCUGUUCUCUCUCUGCCCUUUUCAAAUAUAAGAAAUUAUUCCCUGCACCAGGUCUAUUAAUGCAUCACAUGAACUGAACCAACUUUUUAAUGCUAAAUAUAGUAAAUUCAAAACUAAUCGUAUAGGUGCAGUUUACUUCAUAUAAAAGGUCUAUAUAUAAAAAUUUACUUAGUUUGAAUUUUAAUAAUGAAGAUUAGAAAUACAGUGUAUACCAUAUGGUUAUACACCCGGUACACGAAAUAAUUACUUAUUUACUAUCCUACGG